Molecule: long non-coding RNA, 1297 nt
Filed under: Monodelphis domestica (gray short-tailed opossum)
Lineage: Eukaryota; Metazoa; Chordata; Mammalia; Didelphimorphia; Didelphidae
Description: lncRNA (ENSMODG00000049887.1)
Source: RNAcentral
AUGACCCAGGCCUUUUUGACAAGCAAGCUGAUCCUGUGGUGGGGAUUGGCUAGCCGGACCGUGACGCCCGUAACAACAAAGCCCAGGGUAGGGAAGAGAGGAGCCGGAGAGAGCAGAUGGAGGAGUGGAGUCCGCUGUAGGGCUGUGGAGCUUGGCUGGAGGAUGGAGGAGCCGCCAAGCGCCCGGCUGAUUGGAAGAAAAAAGCAGAGCGAUGGAGGCGGGGGUAGGAGGACGAUUUCUCUGCGGGGACUGGCGGCGGAGUCCACGCCCGGGUCGGGCGCUGCAGAGCUUGGCUAGCUUUCAACCAGCGCUCCCCGGCACCAGCCCCACUCGCCCCCCACCCCCGGCCCUCCCGGCGGCUCCGCAGGUGAGUGCAACAAGGAAGGGAAAAAGCUUAAAAAGGGGGAGAAAGUGUUUUUCCCCCCUUUUUCCUUCUUCCAGCCCCCCAGCGGGAGGGGAGGGGUCGGAGGGGGGAGAUUGAGGGAGCUCGGCCGAAGAGGAGGGGGAAAGGAGAGGCCGGGAAAGGCCUGGGAGGCGGCGGCGACGGGGCUGGGGCACUGACAGGGCGAGCGCUCGGAGCGCUGCUGCGCUGCGCCGGGGCGGGCGGACGGAGCGGGGCGGGCGGAGCGCCGCGCGUGUGGCUCGCCAUUAGCCGUCCCUCCGCUUCGCCAUCGCGGGCUUUGUCUGGCGACUCGCUCCCCUGGCGUCGGCUGCAGCGGGAGCUGCGGAUCGGCUCCACGUCCCACUCCCUCGCCCAGUUACCGCUCUCCGGAUCCCCCCUGCCCGCGCACCCACACUUAGACACACGGAGCCGGGUAAGGAAGCCCCUGCGUCGCCGUAUUUGAGGGUAAUGGGGGAGCCGAGAGAGGAGCUGCGGGAGGCAGAUCUCCAUGCGCUCGGGAAGGCCCGAAUGAGCCAAGCCGAGCUGGAUUGAGCCUGCUCCUCGGAGGAGCCACUUCAGACCCGAUUCCCGCGGCAUUUCCGGGGUGUAGAGAAGCAGGGGGAAUUUUUUUUGUGGGGGGGAACCGAGGUUUGCGGCGGUUUUUUUUUUUAAGUAAAAAUUUGGGACCGAGGUUUUUUGAGGGUUUUUUUGUGGUCCCCCCCCCCCAUCCCGGGAAGGUAAACGAAGCCCGACGAAAAAGGGGACAAGCGGUAGCCGCUGCUCUGUAGCCUGCCGAUUCCCCGGCCCCGAGGCGCCGAUUUGGGGGUGAAGAUAGUGGUAGUGAAAAGCUAAAAGGAGGAUAAGAGCACGAAUUAAGACCCAGGAGGUAGAGAGAUAACCAAAAUUUCAAUGCCG